RNAcentral lists this ribosomal RNA (253 nucleotides) under uncultured bacterium. RNAcentral describes it as "partial 16S ribosomal RNA". It matches the Rfam family "Bacterial small subunit ribosomal RNA", at positions 524 to 776 of the family's 1533-position model. The record is from RNAcentral.
UACGGAGGUGGCAAGCGUUGUUCGGAAUUACUGGGCGUAAAGGGCGCGUAGGCGGUCCUUUAAGUCUUGUGUGAAAUCCCUCGGCUCAACUGAGGAACUGCACGGGAUACUGGAAGACUUGAGUUCGGGAGAGGGAAGCGGAAUUCCGGGUGUAGUGGUGAAAUGCGUAGAUAUCCGGAGGAACACCAGUGGCGAAGGCGGCUCACUGGCCCGGUACUGACGCUGAGGUGCGAAAGCGUGGGGAGCAAACAGG